GACGAACGCUGGCGGCGUGCCUAAUACAUGCAAGUCGAACGCUUUGAUUUUCACCGGAGCUUGCUCCACCGAAAAUCAAAGAGUGGCGGACGGGUGAGUAACACGUGGGCAACCUGCCCAACAGAGGGGGAUAACACUUGGAAACAGGUGCUAAUACCGCAUAAUUUGUUUUUCCGCAUGGAAGAAUAAUAAAAGACGCUUCGGUGUCACUGUUGGAUGGGCCCGCGCUGCAUUAGUUAGUUGGUGGGGUAACGGCCUACCAAGACCAUGAUGCAUAGCCGACCUGAGAGGGUGAUCGGCCACACUGGGACUGAGACACGGCCCAGACUCCUACGGGAGGCAGCAGUAGGGAAUCUUCGGCAAUGGACGAAAGUCUGACCGAGCAACGCCGCGUGAGUGAAGAAGGUUUUCGGAUCGUAAAACUCUGUUGUUAGAGAAGAACAAGUGAGAGAGUUACUGUUCUCACCUUGACGGUAUCUAACCAGAAAGCCACGGCUAACUACGUGCCAGCAGCCGCGGUAAU
This 523-nucleotide ribosomal RNA is filed under the name uncultured bacterium. RNAcentral describes it as "bacterial SSU rRNA". It matches the Rfam family "Bacterial small subunit ribosomal RNA", at positions 28 to 524 of the family's 1533-position model. The record is from RNAcentral.